This 23-nucleotide unclassified non-coding RNA is filed under the name Dictyostelium discoideum. The record is from RNAcentral. Lineage: Eukaryota; Evosea; Eumycetozoa; Dictyosteliales; Dictyosteliaceae.
UGAUUGAGUUGUUGACCACUGUU